This 484-nucleotide ribosomal RNA is filed under the name uncultured bacterium. Its description in RNAcentral is "partial 16S ribosomal RNA". It matches the Rfam family "Bacterial small subunit ribosomal RNA", at positions 30 to 507 of the family's 1533-position model. The record is from RNAcentral.
AUCGAACGCUGGCGGCAUGCUUUACACAUGCAAGUCGAACGGCAGCACGGGCUUCGGCCUGGUGGCUAGUGGCGCACGGGUGAGUAAUAUAUCGGAACGUACCCAGCAGUGGGGGAGAACGUCGCGAAAGUUCCGCUAAUACCGCAUACGAUCUAUGGAUGCAAGCUGGGGACCGCAGGGCCUUGUGCUCCUGGAGCGGCCGAUAUCUGAGUAGCUAGUUGGUGAGGUAAAGGCUCACCAAGGCGACGAUCAGUAGGUGGUCUGAGGGGACGACCAGCCACACUGGAACUGGGACACGGUCCAGACUCCUACGGGAGGCAGCAGUGGGGAAUUUUGGACAAUAGGCGCAAGCCUGAUCCAGCAAUGCCGCGUGAGUGAAGAAGGCCUUGGGGUUGUAAAGCUCUUUUGUCAGGGAAGAAACGGUAGAGGCUAAUAUCCUGUGCUAAUGACGGUACCUGAAGAAUAAGCACCGGCUAACUACGUG